GUCUCCGACCUCAGGACUGGUUGCCAGAACUUCAUCCCAAUCAGGUAAACUUCAAUUAACAUUUUGUUACUUGAGAUUAACCGACCUUUUAGGAGGCUCAAUCCUUACAUAAAUAUCUUUAUUUUAGAUAAAGAGAAGAUUGGAAAUAUUUUUAGAUGUUUCCACACUCGCUUUGGGAAGAAACUUUCGUCCUUUGGGCAUUGGAGGGAUGACAUCAAGAAGAUGUAUAUCAGUCAUUCAUUCCACUCCUCCCAGGUUUGACUGUUCGAAUCAGUAAACAUCUGAUUUUGAAUCUCCUUUUUCUUAUCGCAUUUCCUCUUAUCAGGCAACCCUGGAUGUGAACAGCAUCAUCAACCAUUACGAAGAGGAGCUUACCAAAGUUUCCAAGAGAGCUG
RNAcentral lists this long non-coding RNA (395 nucleotides) under Arabidopsis lyrata. RNAcentral's name for it is "long non-coding RNA (ALYR_LNC001392)". Lineage: Eukaryota; Viridiplantae; Streptophyta; Magnoliopsida; Brassicales; Brassicaceae. The record is from RNAcentral.